CCUACGGGAGGCAGCAGCCGCGGUAAUAUUGGACAAUGGAGGAAACUCUGAUCCAGCCAUGCCGCGUGAGUGAAGAAGGCCUUAGGGUUGUAAAGCUCUUUCAUAUGUGAAGAUAAUGACGGUAGCAUAAGAAGAAGCUCCGGCUAAAUUCGUGCCAGCAGCCGCGGUAAU
This 171-nucleotide ribosomal RNA is filed under the name uncultured bacterium. RNAcentral's name for it is "partial 16S ribosomal RNA". It matches the Rfam family "Bacterial small subunit ribosomal RNA", at positions 338 to 524 of the family's 1533-position model. The record is from RNAcentral.